Molecule: RNA transcript, 9315 nt
Organism: Cebus imitator (Panamanian white-faced capuchin)
Lineage: Eukaryota; Metazoa; Chordata; Mammalia; Primates; Cebidae
Gene: BICD1
Gene name: BICD cargo adaptor 1
Exons: 11
Source: RefSeq, a predicted model, not a curated record
AUCAUUCCGCACCGGCUGCUGCAGGGCCAGAGGGAGCAGGUGGAGCGAGCGAGCUAGCCGCGAGCCGGACGGAGCGCGCCAGACCCAGGGCGAGACUGCAGUGACGCGGCCCGGGAGACAUGGCGGCCGGGCGUCUCUGAAUAAGCAGAAUCCGGAGCCCCUCGCCGCCCCCGGCCGCCGCAGCCCUGGCCAUGCCGCACCGCUGCUAACCGCACGCAGGGGCCGGCCCCGAGGACACAUGCGGCGGCCGCUGCCGCCUCGCCCCUGACCCUCUGAUCUCCAUGUUGCAUUUCUCGUCAGUUUCUCGGGUGGUGUAGCUGCCGCUGCCGCUGCCACAAGAGCCGGCGGGGCGUCGCGCUGCUCAUUCAUCCAGCGGCACUUUCUUUUCCAUUUCCACCCAUCCUUCUCCAUUUCCUUCUCCCUUUCCCCGCCAGCUUUGCAUCUCUGUCCCUCACCCCGUCACCCUCUCCUGCAUCCAUCCACCGGGGGCUAUGGCCGCAGAAGAGGUAUUGCAGACGGUGGACCAUUAUAAGACUGAGAUAGAGAGGCUGACCAAGGAGCUCACGGAGACCACCCAUGAGAAGAUCCAGGCUGCUGAGUACGGGCUGGUGGUGCUGGAGGAGAAGCUGACCCUCAAACAGCAGUAUGACGAGCUGGAGGCUGAGUACGACAGCCUCAAACAGGAGCUGGAGCAGCUCAAAGAGGCAUUUGGGCAGUCCUUUUCCAUCCACCGGAAGGUUGCUGAGGAUGGAGAGACGCGGGAGGAAACGCUUCUGCAGGAGUCAGCAUCGAAGGAGGCUUACUAUCUGGGGAAAAUCUUGGAGAUGCAGAACGAGCUGAAACAGAGCCGGGCUGUGGUCACUAACGUACAGGCAGAAAAUGAGAGGCUCACCGCGGUCGUGCAGGAUCUGAAGGAGAACAAUGAGAUGGUGGAGCUACAGAGAAUACGGAUGAAGGAUGAAAUCCGAGAAUAUAAGUUCCGGGAGGCCCGACUCCUUCAGGACUAUACUGAAUUGGAAGAAGAAAAUAUCACAUUGCAGAAACUAGUGUCCACAUUGAAGCAGAACCAGGUUGAAUACGAAGGCUUAAAGCAUGAGAUUAAGCGAUUUGAGGAGGAGACAGUGCUGCUGAACAGCCAGCUGGAGGAUGCCAUCCGACUGAAAGAGAUUGCUGAGCACCAGCUGGAAGAAGCCCUCGAGACUUUGAAAAAUGAAAGAGAGCAAAAGAACAGCCUGCGGAAGGAGCUCUCCCAGUACAUCAGCCUCAACGAUAACCAUAUCAGCAUCUCAGUAGAUGGACUCAAAUUUGCUGAGGAUGGGAGUGAACCAAACAAUGAUGAUAAAAUGAACGGGCAUAUCCAUGGGCCUCUUGUGAAACUGAAUGGAGACUAUCGGACUCCCACCUUAAGGAAAGGAGAGUCUCUGAACCCUGUCUCUGACUUAUUCAGUGAGCUGAACAUUUCAGAAAUACAGAAAUUGAAGCAGCAGCUUAUGCAGGUAGAGCGGGAAAAGGCCAUUCUUUUGGCCAACCUACAGGAGUCACAGACACAGCUGGAACACACCAAGGGGGCACUGACGGAGCAGCAUGAGCGGGUGCACCGGCUCACAGAGCACGUCAAUGCCAUGAGGGGCCUGCAAAGCAGCAAGGAGCUCAAGGCUGAGCUGGACGGGGAGAAGGGCCGGGACUCAGGGGAGGAGGCUCAUGAUUAUGAGGUGGACAUCAAUGGCUUAGAGAUUCUUGAAUGCAAAUACAGGGUGGCAGUAACUGAGGUGAUUGAUCUGAAAGCAGAAAUUAAGGCCUUAAAGGAGAAAUAUAAUAAAUCUGUAGAAAACUACACUGACGAGAAGGCCAAAUAUGAGAGUAAAAUUCAGAUGUAUGAUGAGCAGGUGACAAACCUUGAGAAGACCACCAAGGAGAGUGGGGAGAAGAUGGCCCACAUGGAGAAGGAGUUGCAAAAGAUGACCAGCAUAGCCAACGAAAAUCACAAUACCCUUAAUACGGCCCAGGAUGAGUUAGUGACAUUCAGUGAGGAGUUAGCUCAGCUUUACCACCACGUGUGUCUGUGUAAUAAUGAAACUCCCAACAGGGUCAUGCUGGAUUACUAUAGGCAGAGCAGAGUCACCCGCAGUGGCAGCCUGAAAGGGCCUGAUGAUCCCAGAGGACUUUUGUCCCCACGAUUAGCCAGGCGGGGUGUGUCAUCCCCGGUAGAAACAAGGACCUCAUCUGAACCAGUUGCAAAAGAAAACACAGAGGCCAGCAAAGAACCAAGCCCAACUAAGACCCCCACAAUCUCUCCUGUUAUUACUGCCCCACCAUCAUCUCCAGUAUUGGAUACAAGUGACAUCCGCAAAGAGCCAAUGAAUAUCUACAACCUUAAUGCCAUAAUCCGGGACCAAAUCAAGCAUCUGCAGAAAGCUGUGGACCGGUCCUUGCAACUGUCUCGCCAAAGAGCAGCAGCUCGGGAGCUAGCCCCCAUGAUUGAUAAAGACAAGGAAGCCUUAAUGGAAGAGAUCCUCAAGCUCAAGUCCCUGCUGAGCACCAAACGGGAGCAGAUCGCCACAUUGAGGGCAGUGCUGAAAGCCAACAAGCAGACAGCUGAGGUGGCGCUAGCUAAUCUCAAGAACAAAUAUGAAAAUGAAAAAGCAAUGGUGACUGAAACCAUGACAAAGCUUAGAAAUGAACUGAAGGCUUUGAAAGAAGAUGCUGCAACCUUCUCAUCCCUGAGAGCAAUGUUUGCAACAAGAUGUGAUGAAUAUGUCACCCAGUUGGAUGAGAUGCAGAGACAGUUAGCAGCCGCAGAGGAUGAGAAGAAGACUCUAAACACUUUGUUACGAAUGGCUAUCCAGCAAAAACUCGCCCUGACCCAGAGGCUGGAGGACUUAGAGUUUGACCAUGAGCAGUCCCGACGCAGCAAAGGCAAACUUGGAAAGAGCAAGAUCGGCAGCCCUAAAACAAUUUUCACCUUCCCUUUGUGAUCAGAGCCGUCCCAGGACUUCAGGGGCUUCCUACCUACAGAAUUUAUUAAGAGUUCCCCCUGAUCCCACCUCCACAGAAUCAUUUCUUCUGAAGGGCCCCCCUUCCAUGAGUGAAUUCAUCCAAGGGCACCGGCUCAGCAAGGAAAAAAGGUUAACCGUGGCUCCACCAGAUUGUCAGCAGCCUGCUGCCUCCGUACCGCCACAGUGCUCACAACUAGCCGGGAGGCAAGACUGUCCGACUGUCAGUCCUGACACAGCUCUCCCUGAGGAGCAGCCACAUUCCAGCUCCCAGUGUGCCCCUCUCCACUGUCUCUCCACGCCUCCCCACCCCUAGUCUUCAUCUCCUGUGGACGGACAUCUGGGGAGGAAGUUUUGUAGCCACACACAGGAUACUGCCCAAGAUCCAGCGGGUGUUUUCUUCUUGGCUGUUAGAUGUACAAUUGGAUUACUGUCCAUUGCUUUGGAAGACAAGAGAAAGUUGAGAAGAAGAACACGAAGCACAGACCCUGAUGUGAUAAAACAUUUUGUGGUUUCUCUGAGUCUCAGAUAAACUUCUGCCAUUAAAUGGCUACAGUUUAUUUAAAUAAAAAAAAAAAAAAAGAAACAGGAGACAUGUGUCAGAUGGCUGGCUUUACCUCGAUAGCAUAAGAGAGACCUAAGAUGUGUAAAAUACAUAUAUUGUAAUAUCAUCUUUCCUCACACUCCAAAUUCAGCUAGGGAAGUUGAUUCCAAUAUUUUUGUCAUUGAUAUUUAUUUUGUACUUUAUUUGCUACAUGAUUUAUGUCUAUAAAAAUAAUUUCUCUGAGGUGAAUUUAAUUCAUUUAUUUUCAGAUAUUUGCUCAAUUAAGUAUGAGUUUGAAUUUAGUUUGAAAUCUGGAAUUGGCCAGACUGUGGUCAUUUUUCUUGCACAAAAUGAUAAAUGAGGUGCAUCAGAAUGUUAACAGUAACUGUAUUUUGCUGCUACACUGGUAUUGUUUAUGCACUUAUUUUCUAAUCAUUAACUGCUGGGGUUUGCUUUUGUAUUUUUAACUAGAGUUCUUCACUGGACAUUACUAAGUAAAUCUAAGGAAGAGACUAUGUUAUGAUUUAUUGACUUAUUCAAGUUUUGAUGGCAUCUUUAAUUUUACUUUUUCAUUGCAGUUGAGUAGAUGUACUGGUGCUGCUCCUUUGUAUGUGUGUAUGUGUGUGACAACGUUAAAGAAGGCUCUAUAACUUGAAGGGGAAAAAACAUGGUGUGUUUAUUUAAUUACCAGAAUUUUUUUUACUUCUCCUAUAAUCAGGGUCCUACUAUGAGUCUUUCCUGAUAAAAGGUAUCAAGUACAAAUGGGAAAAUAUAUACAUACCUAGAUGUAAGAUAGCCUUUGAUUAAUUAAUUUACCCAGAGAGUGUUCAAAGUGUUUGAUUAAAGUUGUAUGUUUUGUUGGUGUUAGGUUUUUUCAUAACAAAUCUUCCUUGCCAAAAAAAAAAAAAAAAACCAAUAGAUAAUAAACCUUAGCUCAUUGUCUACUUUUGACAAACACUCAGGUGCCUACAAACAUUCUAUUAUCUUGAGAUAAUACAUGUUCCUAGUUCAUUUACAGAUUCUGCUGGGUAACUUUUAUGACUUGAUUUAAGGCAGUGGAUUUUCAUAGCAAAAUUUGUUUUGCACAUUAUCUGACAAACAAGGAAAACAGCUAACAGAGCUGAAAGGUCUAACACUCUUGGGCUCCUUAACCAUCAAGUAAGUGCUGCUCACACAACUGCUCCUAGCCCUGAUUCCUUGUCUUUGUCAGGUAGCCUUAACUUAAUUAAAACCAUAAGGAUUUGACCUUUUCAUGUCAAGACAUCUGCAACUUCUCUUCAACACAAAAAUGACCCUCGCUGUUAACACAAAGGACAGUUACCAGUGUAGGGCAUUGAGAAAAAGAUCCAGGAGCCACUCAGCUCAUUGAGCGGACAUGGGUGGCACACAAAUGGAGUGGUCCAUCAGAAACCCACUGGUAAGUCGUAAAGCACAUUGCAGGAGCUUUCGUCAGUCAUAUACGCCUAUUAAGUAGUGGUCGCUAUUACCAAAGCAACCAGGACGCUUUGUGUUCUUUAUAUGAGUGCUGUUUUCCACAGUGUCAUUUAUAAUGCAACGGUUUGGAGUAAAGAGUUUGAAAUCUUCACCAAAAUAGGGAUUCGGGUGAAAGUACAGAAACAGAAACAAAAUAAUUCUACAUGAAGUCCUAACCACAGCAGCCUGACUUCCGCUCUUUUCUACCUGCAUGGCCUUGCCGUUCCUAAACACUGUCUUCAUUUCACUGGUGUUGUAUCUGCCUGGUACCAGUUAGUGAGACUGUGGAUUGUAUCAGAGAUCAAUGAAAGCAAGUUUACCCCUGCCCUCACUUUUUCUUUUUUUUAUGUUUCCCCCUUUCUCAAGCAUCAUGUAUUUGGACCUGAGAAGUGGCAUAGCUGCUAAGCUGACUUUUAAUAAAAACUGUUUGUGCCUGAGGGAAAAAUAUGCCGUUUUAAAAAGUACCUCAGAACAUGUUCCUGUAUGGCCUCAUUGGUUUGGUUGGGUGGGACUGGGAGGUCAGCAGGAAGUACUGUCUGUGUGUGAAUGACCAGGCAGUACUGCCAGUCUGCGAUGCUGUAUUUGCAUUCUUUAUCCCUAACUCUGGAUUUAGGACCCCAUGAGAAGCCGGGUCACAUACAAAACAUUUAUUUCUUCCAAUACAAGGUGUAUUAUUAUGUCUAUUACAAACUAGUUUCAUUUCAGUUCUUUAUCUUCAUAGAGUGGGAAAGGCUUGUUCUGAAAUACUAAUUCUAUGAAAAUAUUAAUUUUAGUGAAUCUUUGCCAAGAAGUUGUAGAAACUUGGAAAUAAAUUUCUCAUUUUCAGCACAAAGUUAAGCGAUAGUCCCUAAGCAGUAAGAGAGAAUACCAUGUAUUUACACUGUGGCAUCAUUUAGCAUAAACUGAGCCAUAUCUAUAUUUAUUUAUAGGCAUUUAAAAUGAAUCAAUAUGUGUAGUGUUGAUAAAAAUCAGUGUCUGUAAAAAUAUCAGGAAUUCAAAAGGAACUUGAAAAGUGGAAGAACUAGUGAGAACCAAAAAUAAUAAACCUCAGUAAGACUAAUUGAAGACAUACUUAGAGAGAAAAAACAACCGUAAUACACUAAAAAUACUGGCUUAUUAUUGCAAAUGCAGUGAGCCAAGACCAAAGCUAACUAGUAAAAGUAGUUAGCAAAGUAAACAGGUAGUUUUUUUUAAAAGUAAGCACAAUUACAAUAUUGAAAAGAAUAGUAUGGAGAAAUGCUUUUCUACUGAGGAUUUUCCUUAAGCAAAAAAUAAGAAGCAGCAGCAAUAAAUUGUCUUUGGCUUGAGUGCUGAGUGGCAUAAAGGAGCUUGGCUUAAUCUUUCCAGUCCACACAUAAUCCAUUAGAUCCCAUUCAUUUAUCCAAUUCUGGAUUCUAAUAAAAGGAAUUUGGAGAACCUUGAGAAAUAGGAAAGUUGUUAAAUAAGAAAAGACCUAUUUAGAAAUUAUGCCUUAGUCUAAUGAAGAGGAGGUACAAUAGUGGUCUUCAAGAAAAGAAUAUUUAACAAAUGAUAGAUAUCAGCUAUAGAUAUUGUUCUAAGUCUAGAAUAAGAAAGUCUUCAGUGUGAAGGAUGUAUAUUAACUCUAGGGAAGAGAUUUUUAACACUGAAAAAUUACAUGGAAAUUGAUCAUCAUAAGGAAUAUUUGUUUUUUAAAAAUUGAAUAUUGAUGGUCUAGUAAGUAUUAAGUGGCAAUAUAGGGGAAUGCAUUUCAGUUCUGGGAGCUCAUAAUUCUGUGAUUCUUUUAAGUUUUAAAAUACAUUAAAGUUUUACUGGUUAAUCGUAAAAUAUUUUAUAUUUGAAAAUAGGAUAGCAAUCUUAAUUUUUCCAAGAUAUUGGUUGGAAAAAAAAGGAUUGUUGGUGUUAUUUUUUCUUCCAGCUAUAUUUCAUGGUAUCUUUAAAAUUAUUCAGAAUAUAGUACUUUUACUAAAAAACUUCAAUUAUCAGAGUCUAAAAAACAAUGUCCUCAGGAAUACUUCAAAAAUAGAAGGUAUGCAAUCCCUUAGUGGGGGCAAACACCUUUCAGAUUUUGUCUUUAUUUAAAAGGAUCUUCAAUAUACAACAUUUGCUUUUUUGUGCUUUGGAAAAUAUCCUUGUGCAGAUUAAGUUCUUCUGUUUGAAACAAGCAUGAACCAUUGGUCCAGUAACCUAAGAAUGUAGAGAUUUCUGAAUAUUCUGUAUUAAAUAAAGUUCUCUGCAUGUCUCAAAUGGAGAUUACAAAACAUGCAAAGGAAGAAAUGAAAUAUCUUUUCUUCUGGGAUGAGUGUCAAUUUUAUGUGUAAUUGUCAUAAUCAGCCAAAAGUUACAAUCUGUCCCUCAGAGACAUCAGGAGAAGCUGGUGGAUCUCCAGUAAGGAACUGUGCUGGUUCAACCCCAGACUGCCACAAAUACAUUGAUAUGGUAGGUAGGAAGUAGGGCUAAAUUUGAAGGAAAUUUAUACGAUAAAGUUCACAAUUUUAAAAAAGUUUGCCCUCCAGUUUUUUGUUUGUUUAUAAACUAGAGUGAUUUUAAGUAAUCCUUGUAUUUAAGGCUGCAAAAAAUCUACAAGAAUAUGUUUUCAAGUAAAGGGAACAUAAUUCUUCAAAAAGCUGUUGAACUGGAGUUAUGAUAGGUUAUGACAGCGUGAUCAGUGCUGAUAUUGACAAGUACUUUUUUACCUUAAAAUCAACUUCUAUGGAACUACAAGAUCAAUCUAGCUCCCGAGUGACCUUUUCUAUUGUCUGUGAUAGUGCCCCCAGGUAAGUUGUGUCAAAAAUUAAGUUCUUCUUUAUUUAUGUGCCAACUUAAUUGCCAUAGUCCCUGCUGUGUUGCAUUUGUAACCUGAUCCUAUUAUGUUACCUGAAAGAUUUCAUGUAGACGUGUCUUUAGUCCUUAUUAUUCAAAGUGUAAUUGAAAGAGAUAUUUAGUAUUAGGACAUGUUUCCCAACGGAUAAUUUUCCAGAAAUAAUAUUCUACUUAAGAAGAGCGAUUGACUGCCUUUAGUGUAAGGGCGAGAGUGCAUAGAAAUAUGCAGUGUAAAAUGUUUGCAUGUGUUAUUUCACAUCAUGUAAGCUUUCCCAUAUUCAUAAGAUGAACGCUAUAGAAGUCUCAUUUCUCUGUGAUCUUCUGUCCAUUAGGAAUGUAAGGAGAUUUUAAUCUGUAUCUAGUCUCCUUUCCAUACUGAAAUGCAUGGCUCUAAUCCUCACUGUAUUUCUAUCCCUUACUUCUUGAAUUAUUUAAAAUUUUCCCUAUUUAAACUGAAGCCUGGAUAAGCUGCUGAGCCAGAUUAUUCCUGUGAUUGGAGUUUAAUUGCUGUAGAACAGUCGUUGAGAACACAUUUUUCACUCUUUUUUUUUCAGAACUACUCUUCGAUCAUUGUUCUCUAAUGAAAACACCGAGAAGUAAAUCUGGUGCUUCUUAGUGUAAAUAUGUUUUUCUUUUUAAAAAGUCAUUUUAAAACAAAGAUGAGAGAACUAUAAAGGAAGGGGAAAUAUCAUUUUAUUUAAAAAUAACUAUUCAAUGAUAGACCAUGGAGAUACAGAAUGAAUCAUUGGGUUCAUAGGUAUGAUUUGUGCAGCCAAUCUUAGAGGAAAUACAUCAUUUUAACAUUCCCACAAAAUGUUUAAGCUCAAUGGUUUGACUAUGAGAGUCAAACAACUAUUAUUUGGAAAUCACUUAUGGCAUUUUUAUAAUCUACUCAGUGUUUUUAUUUGCAUGAUUAUACUUACGUGAUGAACCAUCCAUGAUUCUGAUAUUGUAUUUCUUUCCAGUGUUAACAUGUGUAUUGUGUGGGCAACCCUGAUUUGUACACUGUAUUAUUGUUAUAAUGACUCAACUGUUCCUACAUUUAAUUGCAGUUUUAUUAUUAUGCCUUUUGGGGUUAAAUGAUGUGAAGUGUUUCCACCUACUGAUAAAUACCAUAUGAAAACAUGACUAAAAGACUGAUCUAAGAAACUUUUUUCUUGUUAUUUUUAAAAAUAUCAAUUUCAAAAGAGAUGUUCUCAAAGACACAUGCAUUUAUUUUAAAUUCAAAAAAUUCUUAUGAAUUUAUUAUUGCUUGUACUUUAAAAUUUUUUUAUUGUAGACAAUCCUAAGUGAAUAAUGUCUCAUGGGAGAAUCCACAUGAUAUGUGCUUGUAUUUGUGUAAUCUGAUCAUGCACUUAAUGGUUGGAAAAGGCACUCCAGUGCUAAGAAAAUAACCAGAAGCCAAUAUAUUGAUUCUUAUAUCUUGGUUUAUGUUACCAACUGAAUAUGGUGUAAUGCAUAACUUUUUCCAGUAAAUAAACUGGUUAUUUUUUGUUCAUUUCA